Molecule: ribosomal RNA, 445 nt
Filed under: uncultured bacterium
Lineage: Bacteria
Description: partial 16S ribosomal RNA
Rfam family: Bacterial small subunit ribosomal RNA
Source: RNAcentral
GUAGGGAAUAUUGGUCAAUGGACGAAAGUCUGAACCAGCCAUUCCGCGUGCAGGAAGAAGAUUCUAUGGAUUGUAAACUGCUUUUAGCAGAGAAGAAACGCCUUCAUUGAUGAGGGUUUGACGGUAUCUGCGGAAUAAGCACCGGCUAACUCCGUGCCAGCAGCCGCGGUAAUACGGGGGGUGCAAGCGUUAUCCGGAAUCACUGGGUUUAAAGGGUGUGUAGGCGGGAAAUUAAGUCAGUGGUGAAAGUCUGUUGCUUAACGAUAGAAUUGCCGUUGAUACUGAUUUGCUUGAAUUGGGUUGAGGUUAGCGGAAUGUGACAUGUAGCGGUGAAAUGCAUAGAUAUGUCAUGGAACACCAAUUGCGAAGGCAGCUAGCUGGGCCUUGAUUGACGCUGAGGCACGAAAGCGUGGGUAGCGAACAGGAUUAGAUACCCCGGUAGUCA